RNAcentral lists this ribosomal RNA (492 nucleotides) under uncultured bacterium. Its description in RNAcentral is "partial 16S ribosomal RNA". It matches the Rfam family "Bacterial small subunit ribosomal RNA", at positions 29 to 507 of the family's 1533-position model. The record is from RNAcentral.
AGUGAACGCUGGCGGUAGGCCUAACACAUGCAAGUCGAACGGCAGCACAGUAAGAGCUUGCUCUUACGGGUGGCGAGUGGCGGACGGGUGAGGAAUACAUCGGAAUCUACUUUUUCGUGGGGGAUAACGUAGGGAAACUUACGCUAAUACCGCAUACGACCUACGGGUGAAAGCAGGGGAUCUUCGGACCUUGCGCGAUUGAAUGAGCCGAUGUCGGAUUAGCUAGUUGGCGGGGUAAAGGCCCACCAAGGCGACGAUCCGUAGCUGGUCUGAGAGGAUGAUCAGCCACACUGGAACUGAGACACGGUCCCGACUCCUACGGGAGGCAGCAGUGGGGAAUAUUGGGCAAUGGGCGCAAGCCUGAUCCAGCCAUACCGCGUGGGUGAAGAAGGCCUUCGGGUUGUAAAGCCCUUUUGUUGGGAAAGAAAAGCAGCAGGUUAAUACCCCGCUGUUCUGACGGUACCCAAAGAAUAAGCACCGGCUAACUUCGUG